RNAcentral lists this ribosomal RNA (510 nucleotides) under uncultured bacterium. RNAcentral's name for it is "bacterial SSU rRNA". It matches the Rfam family "Bacterial small subunit ribosomal RNA", at positions 15 to 518 of the family's 1533-position model. The record is from RNAcentral.
GAUCAUGGCUCAGGAUGAACGCUAGCGGCAGGCUUAACACAUGCAAGUCGAGGGGCAGCGUGGAGUAGCAAUACUCUGACGGCGACCGGCGAAAGGGUGAGUAACGCGUGAGCAACAUGCCCGGUAGUGGAGAAUAGUCGAUGGAAACGUCGCGUAAUACUCCGUAACACAGAGAACCGCAUGAUUUUCUGUUAAUAGAUUUAUCGCUACCGGAUUGGCUCGCGUACCAUUAGCUAGUUGGCGGGGUAACGGCCCACCAAGGCGACGAUGGUUAGGGGUUCUGAGAGGAAGGUCCCCCACAUUGGAACUGAGACACGGUCCAGACUCCUACGGGAGGCAGCAGUGAGGAAUAUUGGACAAUGGCCGAGAGGCUGAUCCAGCCAUGCCGCGUGCCGGGAAGACGGCCCUAUGGGUUGUAAACCGCUUUUGUUGGGGAGCAAUAAGGUCCACGUGUGGAUCGAUGAGAGUACCCAGCGAAUAAGCAUCGGCUAACUCCGUGCCAGCAGCGGC